UACGUAGGUGGCGAGCGUUGUCCGGAUUUACUGGGCGUAAAGAGCCCGCAGGCGGCCUGGCAAGUUUCAGGUGAAAUCUCCCGGCUCAACUGGGAGGGUGCUUGGAAAACUGCCAGGCUUGAGGCAGGGAGAGGGAUGCGGAAUUCCCGGUGUAGCGGUGAAAUGCGUAGAUAUCCGGAGGAACACCGGUGGCGAAGGCGGCUUCCUGGACCGACACUGACGCUGAGGCGCGAAAGCUAGGGGAGCAAACGGG
This 253-nucleotide ribosomal RNA is filed under the name uncultured bacterium. RNAcentral describes it as "partial 16S ribosomal RNA". It matches the Rfam family "Bacterial small subunit ribosomal RNA", at positions 524 to 776 of the family's 1533-position model. The record is from RNAcentral.